AGUGUGUUGGAUGCUGUAGUUGGGCUGAGAUGGUCUGCUACCCCAGUCCUGCUUUAGGAUUUAUCUGUAGCAUGGAUUUUUGAGGAUGCUGUCUCAAAACAGUGCUUCCACUGAUGGACUUUAAAGGUAGUAUGAUGAUGGCCAAUAAGAUGAAGUGCACUAUGGAAUCAAAAGUGUUUAAAGAUGCUAGGUAUGGGUACAAUAAAAAGACUAGGAUGAAGUUUUUUAAGGAUAUGUUUUGUGUUGUAUCUGCUCCAGCAAUGACAUCUGGUGACCUCGAUGUGUGUGUAACAAACCCAUUGGGCAAUGGACAGGGGGAACAGAGCUCUGCAGGACUAGAGAGCAGCAAGGGAAGCCACAGAAAGGGUCUGGACCCCAAUUUGGCACCCAGAGCUGAUGCUCCAGGAAUAUGGGAAGUACUGGGCUAGGACAAAUAACACUACAAACUGGAACAUUGCUUUUCAAGUCUCACCCAGGUUAGCCUAGGUGGCUUAUGUUAGCCUCGCUUUGAGGAGAGAAACCUUGAGGAGGCCAAAAGUUGGUCUGCAGCUGCACAGUUGUGGUAAUUGUUACCAUUCAUCACUUGCAAGUGCAUUUUACAGUGUUUACUUCACACAGAUAAACUAGCAGAGCCCUAAGCCUCUGGCAUAGAUACAGUUAUGCCAGCAGACAUUAUUGAGAGGCAGCUUUUGAACAUUUUGGUUUCAUUUGUUACUAUAAAAUGUUGCUAAUUAUACAGAAAGAUGUUCACUUUCAAAUGAAUUUAAUAAAAGCUGUAGUGCUUGUA
Non-coding RNA from Cyanistes caeruleus (blue tit), 787 nucleotides. NCBI's taxonomy places the organism in Eukaryota, Metazoa, Chordata, Aves, Passeriformes, Paridae. The record is from RefSeq and is a predicted model, not a curated record.